CUGCUCAUUUCGGCAGCACAUAUAAGAAAACUGGAACGAUGCAGAGAAGAUCAGCAUGGCCCCUGCGCAACAAUGACCUGCAAAUUCAUGCAGUCCAUAUUUUU
Molecule: small nuclear RNA, 104 nt
Organism: Oryctolagus cuniculus (rabbit)
Lineage: Eukaryota; Metazoa; Chordata; Mammalia; Lagomorpha; Leporidae
Source: Ensembl